RNAcentral lists this ribosomal RNA (565 nucleotides) under Microcalicium ahlneri. Its description in RNAcentral is "eukaryotic LSU rRNA". The stretch from base 222 to 375 matches the Rfam family "5.8S ribosomal RNA". The record is from RNAcentral. Lineage: Eukaryota; Fungi; Ascomycota; Lecanoromycetes; Pertusariales; Microcaliciaceae.
AAGGUUUCCGUAGGUGAACCUGCGGAAGGAUCAUUAAAAAAAUACGCCUGGGGAAGUUGUGAAAACAAUGAAUCCAGUGCUGUAUACAACCACCUGUUUACCUUUACCUGUUUCUUCCGUGGAAUUACGGGUGCUCUUUCUGCUUGCAGCUUAGAGUUACCUUCCACGGGUGCAUUUUAAAAAUUGUCUUGUAUUAUUGUCUGAAAAAAAUUAAAAGUUAAAACUUUCAACAACGGAUCUCUAGGUUCUCGCAUCGAUGAAGAACGCAGCGAAAUGCGAUAAGUAGUGUGAAUUGCAGAUUUCAGUGAAUCAUCGAAUCUUUGAACGCACAUUGCGCCCUUUGGUAUUCCGAAGGGCAUGCCUGUCUGAGCGUCAAUAAAUCAAUCAAACCUNGGUUUGGUAUUGGGAGAAGUGGCUUUGCCUCUCUCCUUUAAGCUAUUGGCGACGCUAUUUCAGCUUGUAAGAUGUAGUAAGUAAUUUCUCGUCAAAGCAACUGGAUGGAUGUCUGCCAAAUGAACGAUUUAUUUAACAGCUUGACCUCAGAUCAGGUAGGGAUACCCCCUGA